RNAcentral lists this ribosomal RNA (465 nucleotides) under Vreelandella stevensii. Its description in RNAcentral is "partial 16S ribosomal RNA". It matches the Rfam family "Bacterial small subunit ribosomal RNA", at positions 338 to 795 of the family's 1533-position model. Lineage: Bacteria; Pseudomonadati; Pseudomonadota; Gammaproteobacteria; Oceanospirillales; Halomonadaceae. The record is from RNAcentral.
CCUACGGGAGGCAGCAGUGGGGAAUAUUGGACAAUGGGCGAAAGCCUGAUCCAGCCAUGCCGCGUGUGUGAAGAAGGCCUUCGGGUUGUAAAGCACUUUCAGUGGGGAAGAAAGUCUUGGGGCUAAUACCCUCGAGGAAGGACAUCACCCACAGAAGAAGCACCGGCUAACUCCGUGCCAGCAGCCGCGGUAAUACGGAGGGUGCGAGCGUUAAUCGGAAUUACUGGGCGUAAAGCGCGCGUAGGCGGUCUGAUAAGCCGGUUGUGAAAGCCCCGGGCUCAACCUGGGAACGGCAUCCGGAACUGGCAGGCUAGAGUGCAGGAGAGGAAGGUAGAAUUCCCGGUGUAGCGGUGAAAUGCGUAGAGAUCGGGAGGAAUACCAGUGGCGAAGGCGGCCUUCUGGACUGACACUGACGCUGAGGUGCGAAAGCGUGGGUAGCAAACAGGAUUAGAUACCCGUGUAGUC